Camellia sinensis is the source of this 1371-nucleotide non-coding RNA. NCBI's taxonomy places the organism in Eukaryota, Viridiplantae, Streptophyta, Magnoliopsida, Ericales, Theaceae. The record is from RefSeq and is a predicted model, not a curated record.
AAAUGAGGGAGAGGGAAGGACAUCACAGGCAAAAAAAAAAGACUCUCAGUCUCACCUCUCUCUCACCCACGGCUCUCCCACACACACACGGCACAUACAGCACAAACCCAGUAACCACACACUCAUCACCCACACACUUCAUACACCACACCACACUACCCAUGUGCACAACACACACUCAACACCGCCACUGCCAUCCCAACACACACCAUACAACACACCCAGCCACCCAUAUACCUCUCUCCCUCCCUCACGGCAGGCACACCCAGCUCACGGACAACACAGACAGACACGACACAGCACAACACUCGCACUCAGAUGCACACGGGAUGAUACACUUACGGCAUGACUCACUCACAACACACGCACACAGUACCAUGCACACCUAAAGGCACACCCAUCACCACCAAACCCAGCCAACAAACACACACACCUCUCUCUCACUCACGGCACCCAUACACCUCCCAUGCACACACCCACGGGAUUGAUCUGCUCACACACGGCUACACACACAAACAGACCCAACAGACACCCAGCGAACCCAUACAUACAGGGAGCACAGCGGACUCAUACACGGCAGACUCAUCCAUCUCUGGUCUCUCUCUGUGGAGCUGAGAACACACUCAACACACACACGGUUUAGAGAGAGAGAGGUUAGGGAGAGAAAGGUAAGAAAGAGAGAGAGGCCAUGCACCCAAUACACACACACCCACACCAUUCACACAUGCAUGACACACACAGCAUACUCACACACAUGCACAAGGCCAACGGCUUUCUCUCCCUCCAGGUUACAUCUCUCUCUCUCUCUCUUUCUCUCUCUCUACAAUGGAUAUAGACACACAGAGAAAUAGAAGCUGAAUUCAAGGAUGAGCAAAGUGUCCGUGGGCCACCUUAUGUGAUUAAGCCAAGGUUCAUAUUUUAUUGGGCUGGUUGAACAAUCCAGCACUUGGAGAAAAAUCAUGGUUAUUGGGCCGUAAAGUUAUGGGAUUUUGGUGCUGUAGAAUAAUAACCCAUGUGGAUAUCAUUCACGCUGGGUUGGUGCAUUUUUGAUUGGCUGGUGGUUUGGUCUUGAAGAGGUCGGGCCGGCUUGACAGUGGGCCGUUUUGUUUGAGCAUUGAUGGGGCCUCCAUUGAAGAUGAGUUUACAUGGGCUGAGGCGUGAAGACAAAUAGUUUGUUUUGCUAAUUAAUGAUUUUUUAUUUUUAUUUUUUUAUUUUUAUUUUGAGUGUUUGUGAGGAUUUAAUUUUAUUCAUCUCUCUCAGAUUUGUAAUAUUUAAAAUGAUUGUAAUAAUUCCCCCACCCCGCUUCUUUCUAUCCCAUUCUUUAAUCGCUUUCUCUAACUGACACGCCAUGCAUAUCCCUGCUUUACAUC